CUGACUAAAUCCCCGACCCCGGUGUACGAUGCCAUUUUAUGAUACAGAUAGAAAAUCCUAGGUAGGAAUAAUGAAAUCAAUUUCCUCAGAACCCUAAUAAUUACUUCCAUGCCCCAACCGCUACUCUCCCUUCUCCCGUAUUCUUCUAUCGAUUUUCGAAAUUUUCUUUCCAACAAGCUUAGUCCCUUGAUUCUUUCUGUUUUCUGAUAACAUAUCUUCCUCUUUAAUCUUUAUCCAAAUCUCUCUUGCUUAUUCUGGAGAUAUUCACCGAUGAAUUUUCGGCAUAUGAAGCAGCUCAUUCUGAUAAAUUGGGGCUAUAAAUAUUAGCAACGACCCUUUCGUAUCUUGCAUCUUCUUCAAUAUUUCUCACAAUUCAAAGAUUCGACUGUUGUAGAGAGGACUAAGGAGGUAUGAAUGAAGAAACCUUAUUCUCUGUUGUGCCUCCAUUCUUCCUCACAUGUUCAAUUUGUAGGAUUCAUCUGGCUGGUCACUGUUCAGUUUGUUUUUCAUAUGUUCUAACUUAGUAACUUGUAUGUCGUAAGAAACCAGAUGAAUUGAGACUGCUAAUAUUCGUUUUGUUUCUUCAUUCUAGCAGGUUCCUGGUAUCUUACAGUAACCGAGACACUAAGUUGAAGAUAGUAUAGUGGUAGAUUAUUCUCAGUAGGUAACUGUGGAAUUACUUCUCUUCUUGUGUUUCAUCACUUUUAGCUCAUAGUGUUUGAUAUGGUUUGUUUUAUGCAGGGUUGUCUUUGUUCGUAGUUACUAAUUUGACACAGACAGACUGUUUUGCCUUCUCUUCUUUGACCAGAGCAGAGGUAUGUGUCUUUGAUAGGUUUUUUUACUCGUUACUAUAUAUUUAAUUUUAGCUUAGAUGAUUAAUUUUGAAUUCCAUGUUCUGUUUGAGUGGUUUACCCCAAUUUCCAAAUGGUUAAUUUGGUUUGCUUUGUUUUAUUCUUGUGGUUUUUUUGUAGAUUAUCUUUGUUUAUUAUGGGUAACUCUGCUGCUAAGUCAAUCGAGAAGGGGGGAAAGGCAUUGGAGACAGCUAUUUUGAGGUGCGAUGGAAUAUAAAGAAAUUACACUCUAUUCCUUUGUGUUUGUGAUUGCCUUGCUUGUUAUUCAAAGUAGUUAGUGCUUUACUAAUCCAUAAAAUCUGCUUCUCUCUAAUCUUAUUCAUUAAUCUUCUUAUUCAACAUACUUAUCACAAUUGUCUCUCAAAUCUAUUUAUCUAAACUCCCUCUAUAAUUUACUUAUCUAAAUUAGUUUUCUCUAAUCUACUUCUUUAAACGACUUCUAGAGUUGGAAUUAUAAUGGAUAAUCGUGUUCCCUCUGAACCCCUAGCUAGUAAUGGUGGUUUUGUUACACCAACUGUGAGUGCAGCUACAGGAACUAUUCUAGUAACUGGUAAUGAGACUCUUUUAUUGUCGCAAACGCAUACACAAGAGGAUAAAAUUACUGAUGCAACAGCUUCUCAACCUAAUUCUAAGCCUAUUGAAAAAUUAGUAGAUAUGAGUAAGCUUACGAGUGACAUUUGGGCUUACUUCUACAGAGUGAGGAAUGGGGGAAUCGUUAAGGCUAAGUGUAAGCACUGCCAGAAGCUGCUAGGUGGGGAGUCAAAAAAAUGGAACAUCUCAUUUGAAGACUCAUAGAAUAGGUUGCCUUCAAAGGCAGCUUCAUGACAGUAAACAGAAAAUACUAGGCCCUAAUUUCCCUAAUUCCAAGAAGGAACUCGCUGCUACCAUCUUUAGUGUUGAAGUGUCUAGGAAAGAGUUAGGCUUAGCCAUAGUAAUGCAUGAGUAUUACUAUUGUCUUCGAUCCAUGAAAAAAAUCUCCAGUUGGUCAACUCUUCCUGUACCUUUUGUUAUGAGAAGAUAAAGCAAUUGAUUAUCGACUUGGUUCAGUAAAAAAUUAGUCCUAACAAUGUUGAUCCCUCUGAUGAAAUUACUCAAAACCCAUAAACUAAAGAUAUAGACUUUGAAAUCUAUGUAAGUCGAAGAAAAAAGGCACGAGCGAUUGUUUGUCAAUCUGAGUUGGACAAUUAUCUUAAUGAAGAUAUCAUUCAGCGAUCACCUAAAUUACGUCUUCUCAAGUGGUGGGAAGAUAAUGGUGUGAAAUGUCCAACUUUGCAAACAAUUGCUAGAGAUUUGCUAGCUAUACCGGUUACUUUGGUUGCCUCUGAAGCAGCCUUUAGCGUCAUUGGUAGAUUAUUGGAUCCACAUCGAAGUUGAUUUCACUACAUUACGGUGGAGUCUAUGAUGUGUUUGAGGAGUUGUGUUCAUGAUGAGAUCAAGAAAGGUAUUUUUUGAAAAGAUGGUGCAUUAUUUUGUACUAACUCAAUCUGAUUUGUAAUUUGAAUUGCAUUGCUUACAUUUGUGUUUGUUGUUCUUUGAUUUCAGAAUCUCCAAAAGAUGAUGUUGCACUACAAGGCUGUUUUUCGGUGCUAAAUUUUAAGGAAGCAAUGGAGAAUGAAAGUGAGAAUCCUUAUGAAGGUAUGGUGUCAUCUACCUACUUGAUUUAAUUUUCUAUGCAUGGAAGUUAUCUUGUGCUCUCUUUCUGCCUCAUCCAAUAUUUUUCUGAAUACCAUUUCUGUUUGGUUCUCUAACAAAUUUAAUAGAUGAACUACUUGCUUUUUAUGCUAAAUGCAUGUUAUGUUAUUGUUUUCAAUUUAUUGUAUUUGUUCCUUCAAUCUCAGGUCAAGGUGGAAAUGGUCAUCAGUAUUAUUUGGAUGAUUGAGCUGCUGCUUUUUCCUGCUAUUUGUUCAUGUUGUUUCCUACUGAUUGAUGCUUGCUGUUGUUACUGUUGCUGCUUGCUGUUGCUGGUGCUGCUGUUUGCUGGUGCUGUGACUUUAAUAUCAAAGAAAACUUGGUUGUUUCUUUGUAGUUCUUAUCUAUUGCUAAAUUUUGUAAUUUUGUUUGUUAGGUGUUAGCACUUAGUAGUUAGCUGUUAGCUAAUACUACACUUCAAAUUAUGUUGCUGUUGAAUUUUUUACCUUUGUUUAUGACUUAGUGUUCAACAGCAGGUUACCAAAUGGCAAGAGAUGUUUUAAAUUUUGUGACCAAACUAAUAUCUUUAGCCGGAUAAUCGGGUAUCCAUGGGGGGCUAGCUGUCGAAAACAGGGGAUUUUAACCGGGGAAAAAAUAAAGUUUUCAACUCUCCUCUUUCUUUUCUCAUCAAUUCGUCGAAUCCAAACUCUACUGGUGGUGGGUACAGAAAUUUCACCGAAUAUCCGAUGAGGUCGGGUUUUCACCGAUCCGGACAGCAGGGCGGUCGAUGAUAGGGUAUGUACUACACGUACCCGAUCUGACAAAAUGCCAAGCCUAUAUUUAUCUUAAAGAACACUACUUACAACAAUCUCAGUAGGUAGGAUUCAUUGAUCAAAAGCCUUUUGUUCACAGUUGACAUUGCUCGGAGCAGCAUUUUGCAAUACGCAUCCACAAGGAAAUUAAAGACCUUAUGGUUGGGAGCACAAGUAUAGAAAUCUUCUUUGGUCAGCUUAAACUAUGUGUCAUCCAGCUAGAGUUGUAGAGAGAGGUGUUUGACGGUGAUGGAUCGUGAGAGGAUAUUGUUGGCAGUGAGAGCUUCUUUGUCGUUUGGCGCUGGACGGAGGAGAGUCUGUUGAUUGCGAGAGGAAGAGCAUGCAAUUAUCAUCGAUUGAAAGCAGGAGAUGGUGGCGGUUGUUGCAAUCGAUAGUGGAGUUGGCAAUCGGGCAACAAUUGUGGCGGCGUGGUCGGCGCGUUGAGAAGGGAUUCAGUCGACGGUCGACGUCAAGGCAGCGAUGGUGGUGAAGAAAGAAGCCACGACAGUGAGAAUCGGGGUUCCACGGUUCUUGGAAGCCGCCGAAAAAGGUCGCCAGAUUCUAGGUUUGGUCGUCGGCAGCGAACUCUUUGCCGGAGAAGAAGAGGGACCAAACUGCAGUCUUCGAAAGUUAAGUGAACAGUAGGUAACUUUUCCAGUUAGUUGUGAGUUCUUGCUUCCGUAGUUCUGAACUUUUAGAUGGUUUACAGUUAAGGACUUGGGUUAGUUUUGUCAGCGACUGGAAGUUCUGGUUCAGUUAGUGUAACAAAAGUAGUUGGAGGACUAGCGCAACGUUUUUUUUUGUCUCAAUAAGUUUCAGAUUGUUGCAAAGUUGUAAAUUGAUUCGUGAAAAGGAGAGGAAUCAUGUCAAGUUAGAAUUAGAGAUGUCAGCUCUUCAUAAGAGGUAGGAGUCUAAGAUUACUUUUCUACUUUAAAGCGUAGAACUACAACAGGAUGUCAGGAAUCCACAUAUUGGAUUUCCCGAUGAUACGUAAUCGGUUGUCAAACUGUACAAUAGCGUGUCAUCUACUAUACAAGUGUUAUGAUAUGUUUCGGAGCCGGGCUCCUAUGACUGUGCAGUAGCGUGUGAUCUACUCUGUAUGAUUAUUGCGAUUACAUAACUGGGCUCUCGAACUGUGUAGUAGCAUGUAAUCUAAUGUAUAGGUUGUUGUUUAAGUUCGAGCAUAAGCUCAUGACGUUUGAACUGUGUGAUUAACAAUUCAUGUUUAGGACAGGAUUCAGGUUUUGCUAGAUUAGCUCUCAAUAUGUGUUGGUCACUCACCCAUGGAUUACGCAAUCCCCCAAGAGUUUUAGUUCAACAGGACGUGUUGAGUAUGCCGACAAAUGCUUCUCACACGAAGUUCAGGACGUAUAGAGUAUGCAUAUAUAUGUUGCUCGUAAGGUUAUGGUGGUUUCAUGGUCUGAUCCACCAUGAGGCUACCAACCACUAGCUAGGGGUGGUUGAUGUUAGGAUGAUGCCUACAGGACCACAAAGUCACAUUACAAGAUUCAGGGAUUAGUUAGACAUUUUUGCUCUAUCUUAUUAGUACAGUCGUAGUUCUACGUGAGUCUAGUUUAACCACUU
RNAcentral lists this long non-coding RNA (4876 nucleotides) under Linum usitatissimum (flax). Its description in RNAcentral is "long non-coding RNA (LUSI_LNC003078)". Lineage: Eukaryota; Viridiplantae; Streptophyta; Magnoliopsida; Malpighiales; Linaceae. The record is from RNAcentral.